This 387-nucleotide RNase P RNA is filed under the name Acidobacteriota bacterium. Its description in RNAcentral is "Acidobacteria bacterium RNase P RNA component class A". It matches the Rfam family "Bacterial RNase P class A". From Rfam's summary of the family: Ribonuclease P (RNase P) is a ubiquitous endoribonuclease, found in archaea, bacteria and eukarya as well as chloroplasts and mitochondria. Its best characterised activity is the generation of mature 5'-ends of tRNAs by cleaving the 5'-leader elements of precursor-tRNAs. Lineage: Bacteria; Pseudomonadati; Acidobacteriota. The record is from RNAcentral.
GCAGUCGGCUUGACGAUCGCCGCGCUGGAGCGCCGCAAGGCGCGACAGCGGGGAGGAAAGUCCGAACUCCGCAGGGCAGUGCGCCGGGUAACGCCCGGUCAGGGUGACUUGAAGGAAAGUGGCACAGAAAAUAUACCGCCGCGCCGAAGCGCCGUCCGGCGCGAAGGCGGGGUAAGGGUGAAAAGGUGCGGUAAGAGCGCACCGCGUCUGCUGUAAGGCAGAUGGCAGGCAAAACCCCGCACGGAGCAAGACCAAAUAGGGAGACGCUCGAGGACGGCCCGUCCAAAGUCUCCGGGUAGGUCGCUUGAUCCCGUCAGCAAUGCCGGGACUAGAGGAAUGAUUGUCGCCCGCAAGGGAACAGAAUUCGGCUUACGGCCGGCUGCGGUA